GUUACGACUGUUGCUCAGAGAAUUUAAUUAAAUGGAAAACAUUCGGACGAAGGAGAGAAAUGUGAUCCGGCUGACAGUCGGCGAGAGCAAAAGGGGGUUCGGCGCUUUGGUCAACUAGUUCACCUCCUCGUCUAACGUGAGCUGGAUGUUGCAGAUCUGUCUUUGAAGGAGGCCCCGGUGUCUCGCAGCUGAUUUCACAGAUUUAGUCAUAAUCUGGUAUUGUCUGCCUUAAAAUAACACGAGAGACUAUUUUAUCCGGGAAGAGGAUUUGGGGAACAUCCACUCGUCCGACGUGUAAGCGGC
Molecule: long non-coding RNA, 303 nt
Organism: Gasterosteus aculeatus aculeatus (three-spined stickleback)
Lineage: Eukaryota; Metazoa; Chordata; Actinopteri; Perciformes; Gasterosteidae
Source: Ensembl